Macleaya cordata is the source of this 65-nucleotide transfer RNA. It matches the Rfam family "tRNA". Rfam says of the family: Transfer RNA (tRNA) molecules are approximately 80 nucleotides in length. NCBI's taxonomy places the organism in Eukaryota, Viridiplantae, Streptophyta, Magnoliopsida, Ranunculales, Papaveraceae. The record is from Rfam.
GUGUUUGUAGUCCAACGGUUAGGAUAAUUGCCUUCCAAGCAAUAGACCCGAUCCCGACAUACACA